CAGUCGCCGCGGGAAUACGAAGGGUGCAAGCGUUACUCGGAAUUACUGGGCGUAAAGCGCACGCAGGCGGUCUGACAAGUCAGAUGUGAAAUCCCCGGGCUUAACCUGGGAAAUGCAUUUGAAACUGUCAGGCUGGAGUCUUGUAGAGGGGGGUAGAAUUCCAGGUGUAGCGGUGAAAUGCGUAGAGAUCUGGAGGAAUACCGGUGGCGAAGGCGGCCCCCUGGACAAAGACUGACGCUCAGGUGCGAAAGCGUGGGGAGCAAACAGGAUUAGAUACCCCGGUAGUCCCUGUCUCUUAUAC
RNAcentral lists this ribosomal RNA (301 nucleotides) under uncultured bacterium. Its description in RNAcentral is "partial 16S ribosomal RNA". It matches the Rfam family "Bacterial small subunit ribosomal RNA", at positions 509 to 807 of the family's 1533-position model. The record is from RNAcentral.